RNAcentral lists this ribosomal RNA (497 nucleotides) under uncultured bacterium. RNAcentral describes it as "partial 16S ribosomal RNA". It matches the Rfam family "Bacterial small subunit ribosomal RNA", at positions 28 to 507 of the family's 1533-position model. The record is from RNAcentral.
GAUGAACGCUGGCGGCGUGCCUAAUACAUGCAAGUCGAGCGAACAGACGAGGAGCUUGCUCCUUCGACGUUAGCGGCGGACGGGUGAGUAACACGUAGGUAACCUACCUAUAAGACUGGGAUAACUUCGGGGAACCGGAGCUAAUACCGGAUAAUAUUUCGAACCGCAUGGUUCGAUAGUGAAAGAUGGCUUUGCUAUCACUUAUAGAUGGACCUGCGCCGUAUUAGCUAGUUGGUAAGGUAACGGCUUACCAAGGCAACGAUACGUAGCCGACCUGAGAGGGUGAUCGGCCACACUGGAACUGAGACACGGUCCAGACUCCUACGGGAGGCAGCAGUAGGGAAUCUUCCGCAAUGGGCGAAAGCCUGACGGAGCAACGCCGCGUGAGUGAUGAAGGUCUUCGGAUCGUAAAACUCUGUUAUUAGGGAAGAACAAACGUGUAAGUAACUGUGCACGUCUUGACGGUACCUAAUCAGAAAGCCACGGCUAACUACGUG